This 460-nucleotide ribosomal RNA is filed under the name uncultured bacterium. RNAcentral's name for it is "partial 16S ribosomal RNA". It matches the Rfam family "Bacterial small subunit ribosomal RNA", at positions 338 to 795 of the family's 1533-position model. The record is from RNAcentral.
CCUACGGGAGGCAGCAGUGAGGAAUAUUGGUCAAUGGGCGCGAGCCUGAACCAGCCAAGUAGCGUGAAGGAUGACUGCCCUACGGGUUGUAAACUUCUUUUAUAAAGGAAUAAAGUGAGGCACGUGUGCCUGUUUGUGUGUACUUUAUGAAUAAGGAUCGGCUAACUCCGUGCCAGCAGCCGCGGUAAUACGGAGGAUCCGAGCGUUAUCCGGAUUUAUUGGGUUUAAAGGGAGCGUAGAUGGGUUGUUAAGUCAGUUGUGAAAGUUUGCGGCUCAACCGUAAGAUUGCAAUUGAUACUGGCAGUCUUGAGUACAGUUGAGGUAGGCGGAAUGCGUGGUGUAGCGGUGAAAUGCUUAGAUAUCACGAAGAACUCCGAUUGCGAAGGCAGCAUACUAAACUGACACUGACAUUGAGGCUCGAAAGUGUGGGUAUCGAACAGGAUUAGAUACCCCAGUAGUC